UAGGGAAUCUUCGGCAAUGGACGGAAGUCUGACCGAGCAACGCCGCGUGAGUGAAGAAGGUUUUCGGAUCGUAAAGCUCUGUUGUAAGAGAAGAACGAGUGUGAGAGUGGAAAGUUCACACUGUGACGGUAUCUUACCAGAAAGGGACGGCUAACUACGUGCCAGCAGCCGCGGUAAUACGUAGGUCCCGAGCGUUGUCCGGAUUUAUUGGGCGUAAAGCGAGCGCAGGCGGUUAGAUAAGUCUGAAGUUAAAGGCUGUGGCUUAACCAUAGUAGGCUUUGGAAACUGUUUAACUUGAGUGCAAGAGGGGAGAGUGGAAUUCCAUGUGUAGCGGUGAAAUGCGUAGAUAUAUGGAGGAACACCGGUAGCGAAAGCGGCUCUCUGGCUUGUAACUGACGCUGAGGCUCGAAAGCGUGGGGAGCAAACAGGAUUAGAUACCCUGGUAGUCCACGCUGUAAACGAUGAGUGCUAGGUGUUAGACCCUUUCCGGGGUUUAGUGCCGUAGCUAACGCAUUAAGCACUCCGCCUGGGGAGUACGACCGCAAGGUUG
This 550-nucleotide ribosomal RNA is filed under the name uncultured bacterium. RNAcentral's name for it is "bacterial SSU rRNA". It matches the Rfam family "Bacterial small subunit ribosomal RNA", at positions 355 to 896 of the family's 1533-position model. The record is from RNAcentral.